UAACACGAACAGCAAAGCGGAAAGGAUACAAGUAAAAGUAAUAGUGCACAGUGCUACUUGCCCCAUCUUGAGUUGGUUGUGAGAGAGACUACUCACUCACUCACCACUCUACUCUGCAGACGGGACACUCCUGACAACUCGGGUGCCAAGACUCUCUUGGUCGCUGGUGAAAACAAUGCCAGAACUUCUGGCACUGUUUUCACCAGAAGGUAGCUAUAUAGUCGCGCCUUAUCUCUAUUGUGCCACUUAGCCUUACUUUUUUUUAUCCUUAUGAGCUUCUACCAGUUCUGGUAAAAGUCGUCCUGUCAUGUUCAGAAUUUUAUUUGGCUUAAAAGGUGUAUUUUAUUGUGAAAAGACCGAAAACUUGCAAUUUUUGGCACUCUGGUCAUUUCAAUUUCAAUGCCUAGUGGGGAAUAUGCAUUUCCCACUAGGCAUUAAUGAGUGUGCAUAAGUCUCAAGAAAAUCCCCAGGGCCUCUCAGAUACAACGGAAGUCGUCAGUCAUGCGGUGGUCCAGCGAUCAAGGUACUUGGUGUUGUUCGAGCAGCAUGUCGUGAACAUCAGCAAAGUGUUCUACAUGUUCACCAGUUACCCGUUCAGUCCAGAGGGUCACCGAGCUACCCUGGGCAGCUGGAGUAACAAGACCAUCACAUCGGUCGUGGACUUGUUUCCUGAUCGCUACCCAGACCUGCAGGGAGCGGUGUUGUAUCUCGCUUCCUGGUGUGAUGACUUCCCGAUCAUCUACGUGAGUGGUGAUGGCUGUAUCGGUUCCAGUCUGGACACUCUUUCUCUUAUCGCCCACAAACUCAACUUCACCUACGAGGUACAAAGAGAGACUCAAGACCAACACUGGGGCGCCUUGGAGAAUGGGAAUUGGACUGGUAUGUUGGGUGACCUUAAAUACAAUGGUAAGGACUUAGCCCUUAACUGGUUCCUUCUUAACCACAACCGCUGGAAGGCCUUCGACGCCCUCUACCCAUACUACGCUGAAGGUUUCGGGUUUCUGGCGCGUCUCCCGGAGCCAGCACCUCGGUGGAAGAACUUGACCUACUCCUUCACUACCAAUUUGUGGCUCAUCAUCGUCUGCUCCACCAUGGUCGUCUCGUGUAUGUUCUCUGCUUUGAUGCCGCGUCAUAUGACAGAGGGAACCGUCGACCAUAUCCAGCAAAUCAUCUUGGUAUGUGCGGGCGUGGUGAGACAGGUGGUUGAUCUGGGCGGUGACGGGAGAUGGGCGUGGCAGCGGGUGUGGCUGGGCUGGUGGUGGUUGGGCUGUAUCAUCCUAACCACCGCCUACACCUGUAACCUCAUCGCCUUCCUCACUGUCCCUGUCUACACCACCCGCAUUGAGACUGUCGCCCAUCUUGCUGCCUCAGACCUCAGGGUCAUAAUGCAGGAUUAUGGGAGCUUCUUGCCAGAGGCGCUGAAGGAGUCGUCGGAUCCCCACCUGUAUACGUUGGGUCACAAGUUGGAUUUAUACCCGUAUGAGGAAGCGUAUGACCCAGCUAUCUACGGCGUCUUGAACCGCACUCACGCCCUCACAGAGACCUACUCCUACCUCAUGAACCUCCAGAUCCAGUAUAAUGUUACCCAGGACACCUACCUCAUGAAGGAACAGGUCAGGUGUACCCGGGUCACAUGUCCUGGUUCAUGCCCAAGAACACCCCGUACUCAGCCAAGGUGUCCGCCCUCCUCACCAGACUCCGGGAAGCGGGGGUUAUUAACAAGUUCUUUCUCAUACACUUUGCCCGCGUGUCUGAGACCUUCAAGAACACCCAGAUGAGUAACACCUAAACCCUUGAGAAAUUAACAACUGGAUCAUGGAAACACUGCUGUUACAGGGGAGCGGCACACAGAGCAGAGCCGUCCAGGGGAGCGGCACACAGAGCAGAGCCGUCCAGGGGAGCGGCACACAGAGCAGAGCCGUCCAGGGGAGCGGCACACAGAGCAGAGCAGUCCAGGGCAGCAGCCAGCAAGCACAGGGCAGCAGCAAGCAAGUACAGGGUAGUGGCCAGUAAGCACAGUCUCGGGCAGCAUGGCACUCCAGUGUUCAGAACAACAUUUCUGUACAAAAUAAAAUGUAAAAUUAA
Molecule: unclassified non-coding RNA, 2085 nt
Filed under: Homarus americanus (American lobster)
Lineage: Eukaryota; Metazoa; Arthropoda; Malacostraca; Decapoda; Nephropidae
Description: glutamate receptor ionotropic, delta-1-like, transcript variant X3
Source: RNAcentral